GUGAUGGCUAUUCAAUCUUGUGAAUAUGAGGAAUCUGCAUUUCAAAUGCAAGGGCAGGAUAUGGAAGAUGGGGAAGAAGUGUGGCAUGAUGUUGUGGAAGGGGAUGGAAGUGGAGUUGCAGAUAAGAUAACCCUUUCUGUACACCCUAAGAACAGGGAGUUAUUGAUUUUAAUUGACUCUGGCAGCACUCAUAGCUUCUUAGAUGUUAAAGUAGCAAGGAGCACUCAUAGCUUCUUAGAUGUUAAAGUAGCAAGGGAUUUGAAGGUGCCUGUAGUAGAUGUGACUGCUUUUGCAGCAACAGUAGCUGAUGGCAGAAGAAU
Molecule: unclassified non-coding RNA, 320 nt
Filed under: Hevea brasiliensis (rubber tree)
Lineage: Eukaryota; Viridiplantae; Streptophyta; Magnoliopsida; Malpighiales; Euphorbiaceae
Source: RNAcentral